CUGGCUCAGGAUGAACGCGUGGCGGCGUGCUUAACACAUGCAAGUCGAACGGAGUUAAGAAGGAAGCUUGCUUCAUUUAAACUUAGUGGCGGACGGGUGAGUAACGCGUGAGGAACCUGCCCUUCAGUGGGGAACAACAACUAGAAAUGGUUGCUAAUACCGCAUAACGUCGGAGAGCCGCAUGACUUUCCGACCAAAGGAUUUAUUCGCUGAAGGAUGGCCUCGCGUCCGAUUAGAUAGUUGGUGAGGUAACGGCCCCACCAAGUCUACGAUCGGUAGCCGAACUGAGAGGUUGAUCGGCCACAUUGGGACUGAGACACGGCCCAGACUCCUACGGGAGGCAGCAGUGGGGAAUAUUGGGCAAUGGGCGAAAAAGCCUGACCCAGCAACGCCGCGUGAAGGAUGACGGUCUUCGGAUUGUAAACUUCUUUAAUUGGGGAAGAACAAAAUGACCUACCCAAAGAAUAAGUCACGGCUAACUACGUGCCAGCCGCAGC
RNAcentral lists this ribosomal RNA (497 nucleotides) under uncultured bacterium. RNAcentral describes it as "bacterial SSU rRNA". It matches the Rfam family "Bacterial small subunit ribosomal RNA", at positions 19 to 518 of the family's 1533-position model. The record is from RNAcentral.